GAUGAAGAACGCAGCGAAAUGCGAUGAGUAAUGUGAAUUGCAGAAUUCAGUGAAUCAUCGAAUCUUUGAACGCACAUUGCGCCCAUUAGUAUUCUAGUGGGCAUGCCUGUUCGAGCGUCAUUAAGUCCACUUAAGCCCUGCUUAGUGUUGGGAGACUGCUCCAGCGGUGCUACCCUGUAGCUACCCUGCAGCUCCUCAAAGACAGCGGCGGAGUUGUGGUAUCCUCUGAGCUUAGUAACUUGUUCUAGCUUUCGAGUACACCACUUCCCCUGCCGUAAAACCCUUAAUUUUUAAUGGUUGACCUCGGAUCAGGUAGGAAUACCCGCUGAACUUAAGCAUAUCAAUAAGCGGAGGA
This 355-nucleotide unclassified non-coding RNA is filed under the name soil metagenome. Its description in RNAcentral is "partial contains 5.8S ribosomal RNA, internal transcribed spacer 2, and large subunit ribosomal RNA". The stretch from base 1 to 120 matches the Rfam family "5.8S ribosomal RNA", at positions 35 to 154 of the family's 154-position model. The record is from RNAcentral.